CCUCCAGUCCUGACCCCGGAGGGUGGUGCUUCUUCUUGCGCAGAACGCCCUUUGCCUGGUUCACUCAGGGCUCCUGGCCUCGGACUGGGCCUGGUUUGAGCAGAAUACUUUGUUGUGCUGAGGGAGGUUUCCAUAUCAUGUAUCAUCAAUGAAUUCAUGGGGUUCUUUCUUGACCAAAUCAUCUGAAAUCAGUAAAGAAAAUGUCUGAGACACAGGUUUUAAAAACGUUCCAUGACUUUCUUGAGAAGAUAUAACAUCUAUUCACCCCAAGUAAGAGUGAAGUGGCAACCUGGCCUCAUUUCAUCUCUGAGGAUGUUACUUCAAAUUGAUCCCGGGAACAGAAUCUUAAUUCUGAAUUCUACACUUCUUCAGUAAAGGGAACUUCCUCGUUUUCUUUCAUUGCUUUUCUCUUGGACUUGCAUAGAUGGGCAUGAACGUGUGUGUACAAAUGUGUGUGUUCAAGUUCAAGUAUACAUGUGUGCAUGUGAAAGGCAGACAUCAAUGUAGCAAUCAGAACUGCUUUAUUUUGGGGGGACAAGGUCUCACGCUGAAUCUGGAGGUGGCUGACUUAGCUAGACUGACUGACCAACAGGCUCCAGGAAUCUGCAUGUAAUGUCUCUGCAUUCCCAGUGCUGGAAUUACAGGCGCAUACUCCUAGACCAGUUUUGUGGGGUAUUUGUAAACUGUGUGAAGGUCUAUUGCUGUGAUUGCUGUAAUAAAAAGCCAAAGUAUGAGGAAGAAUCUAGGUGAGAGAGAAGGAGGGUUGGGGGAAGACAUGGAGGAAUCAGGAUGUGCAGUACAUGACAGAAUGUAGAUUAAUAGAAAUGGGUUAAUUUACUUUAUACCAGCUAGUUACAAACAAGCCUAGGCUAAGGCCAAGCUUUCAUCAUUGAUCAGUCUCUGAGUCAUUAUUUGGGAGCUGGUGCCCCCCCAAAUCUAACUACAGCCUUAAAAAAACAAAAACAAAACAAACAAAAAACCCCAGGUGCUGGACAUCUAAAAUCAGGUCUUCAUGCUUCCAUGGCAAGUGCUUUACUAACAGGGAUUUCUCCUUAGCUCCAUUUGUCUGUUUGUUUAUUUUUCAGACAGACCCUCCCCAUUUAGCCCAGGGUGCUCUUGAUUCGUAAUUCUCCUGCCUCAGCCUUGUGAAAGACAGGAAUAUAGGCAUUUACCACAACACCCAACUUCUCCUGACAAUUCUAAAUGUUCUAUAAUGAUAACAUGACAUCUACACACAUCCAUUCAGCCACAUAUCUAAUCCUGUCAAUAUAGUAUCUCAGUUUUUAAAAUAAGUUGGUGUCAUUUGAGAAACUACAAAUUAGGACCUAUAGAGUCUGGAAAGCUAAAAAAUGAAUAUAAUCUAGUUUAAAAUGCGGUCAAGAUUAAGCACAGCAGCUUCUGGAUUUGUUCAUCUUAAGUUCUAUAAAUGAUAUAGUCUAUUUCUUACCUGGACCUCCUCAUUUCCCUUGCUGUGAUUAUGAAACAUUGAGAAUUAAAACCACAACUCGCUACAAGCCAGACCUCUCUGAAGAUCCAACAAUCUACAAGCCUAAAUUCCUGCUGUUUUGUCCUGAACAUAUCUCCUUGUCACUUGAGAAAGAAACAAAUAGUAAAGAUUCUGAAAAUAAAAUCCUUUUAACCACAGAGGAUGGGGUUUAUCAGGUUCUUGAUUGAGUCAUAUCUUAAUUGUUAA
Molecule: non-coding RNA, 1693 nt
Organism: Myodes glareolus (Bank vole)
Lineage: Eukaryota; Metazoa; Chordata; Mammalia; Rodentia; Cricetidae
Source: RefSeq, a predicted model, not a curated record